AUGCAGUAUAAUUUGGAUGUCGUUAAGGAAAAUAAAGAGAAUAAAAAAAGUGGUAUAAAUGUAAAAAUGAAUGACAAAAUUAAUGAAAAAAGUAAUGAAAAAAGUGAUAAAUAUAUAGUUGAAAAAAGUGAUAAAUAUAUAGNNNNNNNNNNUGAAAAAAGUGAUAAAUAUAUAGUUGAAAAAAGUGAUAAAUAUAUAGAUGACCUGAAGAGUGAUUUAACGGCUUCAAUUGAUGACGCAAAUUCUGAUGUGUACAAUAAAGGAUAUAAAAAUAAAAUAAUGAAAUAUAAUUUUAUUUAUAAUUCAAAGGAUAUUAAUAAUAUUGAAUUUUAUGAACAGAAAAAACAUACAUUUAUAAAUAAAAAUGUAAAUUAUUUAGAUGAAUUAAUAGAAGAUAGUAAACAUAAAUUAGCAACUGAAAAUAUUUUAAUACCUGAAAAUAAUAAAUUGCAAAAUGUAGAACUGAUUGUUAAAAAUGAACAAGUUACAGUAGUGUAUGAAAAAAGUAAUGAUGGUGUAUUAGAAAAAAAAAAAAAAAAAAAUGAACUAAAAGGGGGAGAAGUAGAAGAAGGUAAAGAUGGAGGAGAAGGAGAAGAAUGUAAAGGAGAAGAUGUAGAAGAAGGUAAAGAAGGAGAAGUAGAAGAAUGUAAAGGAGGGAAAGUUGAAGAAGUAGAAGAAUGUAAAGAAGGGAAAGUUGAAGAAGUAGAAGAAUGUAAAGAAGGAGGAGUAGAAUCAUUUGAAUAUACAUUGUGGGAUAAAAAUUGUAUGGAAAAGGAUAAAGCACAUUGUAAGGAAAGUUUUUUUUGAAAUUACUGAAUCAUUGAAAGAGUAUAAAAGUUUACAUACCAAUAAUAAUAAUAAUAAUAAUAAUAAUAAUAAUAAUAAUAAUAAUAANNNNNNNNNNAUAAUAAUAAUAAUAAUAAUAAUAAUAAUAAUAAUAAUAAUAAUAAUGAUAAUGGAGUUUGUAAUGUGUUUGAAAUGCGUGAUGUUAAUGAUGACAUGUUUAAAGAACAUAAAGUGGUAAAUAAAAAAGAAAUUAUAAACUUUUUUCA
RNAcentral lists this long non-coding RNA (1052 nucleotides) under Piliocolobus tephrosceles (Ugandan red Colobus). RNAcentral's name for it is "lncRNA (ENSPTEG00000002032.1)". The record is from RNAcentral. Lineage: Eukaryota; Metazoa; Chordata; Mammalia; Primates; Cercopithecidae.